GCCAUCGUAUAUCAGUGGCAGAAUCCCUUCACGCCGUCAGGUUGUCUGACAAUUCGAACAUCUGCACGAAGGAUGCGUAGGUUCGACUCCUACCGAUGGUA
Non-coding RNA from Mycena latifolia, 101 nucleotides. NCBI's taxonomy places the organism in Eukaryota, Fungi, Basidiomycota, Agaricomycetes, Agaricales, Mycenaceae. The record is from the annotation of a GenBank genome assembly.